Long non-coding RNA from Polistes dominula (European paper wasp), 387 nucleotides. RefSeq lists it as uncharacterized. The record is from RefSeq and is a predicted model, not a curated record. Lineage: Eukaryota; Metazoa; Arthropoda; Insecta; Hymenoptera; Vespidae.
UAUGAAGACAUCAUUAAUUAUUAAUAUAGACCUAAUAUUAUUAAGUCAAUAAUCAAAGAAUAUUAGUUUUAAGUGAAAGAUAUGUAUUGCAUGUUUUUGAUGCUAGAAAAUCUAACGAUUUCUCGAGUAGCCAAAUAUAAGAUCGAAUUAGCCUGUAUAGUUUGUCUCGUUGGCGGUUGUCUGCCAAGAAGUGUGUCGAUCUAUUAUGCAUAGACUGCGAGCAUUUUAAACAUUCAUCGGCAUACACAUAACAAGAAUUUCACAAAGACGACAAUGGGCCACACGCUGAUGACGAUAAACCUUAAUAAAGAAGAAAUAAAUAAAUCUACGUUUUACGAGAUGACACAAGAAGAGACAUAAAAAGGAGAACAAAAAAAAAAGGAACCA